GAGGUGCUCUGCCAACCAUAUGAUACACAUGCAAUGCAGAACACCGAGGAAUUCUGAUUCCGCGUCUCGUGAGUCCGAAUCCGAAGAGCGAAACAGCGAGCCAGGCGACUCUGAACAUCCCCGCGCGCGUGGCGUGGCGGCGUGGGGCAGGCACAGCCAACUGCGUUCGGUGACUGGCAUCAUCGUGUAUAUAAGUAGGCGCGCUCCCUGACCGGCUGGAAGCACAGCAGCACCACCACACCACACGAUCGCCCUCAACACGGGAGCUAGAAGCUACACGGAUUAAGUAAGGUCUGUGCUUAAAGACUCGAUUGGUUAGGACUUGGGAGUAAGCUACUAGCUAGAAGCUCCAGUAGUCGAUCGACAACAAUGGCCAACUUCGCUGCUCAGAUUAAGGACAAGUUCCUCGGCCUCGUCGACCGUGUCGCCGGCCGCGGCCGCGCCGGAGGCGGCAAGGACGACGUACAGGAGCCCACUACUAAGCUGCACACCGUCCAGCGUGUCGAGGUUAGGUCGCGAGGCCGAGCAGCAGAGCCCGUCGUGGACGGAGGAUCGACGGCGGGGCCCAACUAAUGCCGCGCGCCCGGUUCGUAGCGCAGCAGACUGCGCGAUAGAUGAGACUGCUAGUGUUCUGAAAUCUGAAUGUUUUGGUUGAAAGACAUCUCUUUUAUCUGGUAGCUGGUGCAACUAGCUGUUAUGGACUUAUGGGUACGAGUAGUUUUCGUGGUAACAUGUGUAACCGCGUGAGAUUAAUAAAAGCAUAUCAAUAAAUUUGUGCUUUCGAUUUGUCACUA
Zea mays is the source of this 794-nucleotide long non-coding RNA. RefSeq lists it as uncharacterized. Lineage: Eukaryota; Viridiplantae; Streptophyta; Magnoliopsida; Poales; Poaceae. The transcript is spliced from 2 exons. The record is from RefSeq and is a predicted model, not a curated record.